Molecule: ribosomal RNA, 136 nt
Filed under: uncultured bacterium
Lineage: Bacteria
Description: partial 16S ribosomal RNA
Rfam family: Bacterial small subunit ribosomal RNA
Source: RNAcentral
UGGGGAAUAUUGCACAAUGGGGGAAACCCUGAUGCAGCAACGCCGCGUGAAGGAAGAAGGCCUUUGGGUCGUAAACUUCUGUCCUAAGGGAAGAUAAUGACGGUACCUUGGAGGAAGCCCCGGCUAACUACGUGCC